This 1834-nucleotide long non-coding RNA is filed under the name Sus scrofa (pig). RNAcentral describes it as "lncRNA (ENSSSCG00015078110.1)". The record is from RNAcentral. Lineage: Eukaryota; Metazoa; Chordata; Mammalia; Artiodactyla; Suidae.
GUGGAAAUGAAUCUGACUAGUAUCCAUGAGGAUGCAGUUUCCAUCCCUGACUUUGCUCAGUGGGAUCCAGCAUUGCCAUGAGCUGUGGUGAAGUUUGCAAAUGCUCAGAUCUUGCAUCGCUGUGGCUGGGAACUUCCAUAAUACUGUGGGUACGACCCUUAAAAAAAAAAAAAUGCUUUUUACACGAUCAUGAAUGUUAUAAUAAAGAAAAAAGGAAUAGAAUAAGGAAACAGAAAAACUGUCCAAGUAUAUAACUUUUAGAGAUAAUCACAAAUUUAGAUUUUUAAAUUGCUGUAUUGUCAUCUUAAUUUUCAGUUGAUAAAUGAUAAUGUCUAUCAUUUAUUUAGGCUUAUCCCAAAAGUUAUAUUGCUUUGAUUUCUGGAAGAAUUAAACAUUUCCCCAUAUUUGCUUACUGUUUUUUUAUUUUAUUAUGCAAAUUGUUGAUGAGGUAUGUCUGUCUUCUAGGGUCAUGAUGUUGACUUUCAUGAGCUCUCUUAUGAGUCUCAACCUGUCUUAUUGCUACAUUUUCUCUUGAUUUUCCAUUUUAUUUGUUACAGUACAGAAGUUUUAAAUUUUAUGCAGUUUGUGUUAAUCUUUCUCUGUGUAAUUUCUUCUAUCUAUCUAGAUAGUUUAAUUUCUGUAAAAACCUUGCUAAAAUUUGAAGUUUUAUAUUCUGUUAGCUUUUGAUUUAGUUAUUGAAUUUUUAAAGCAUCUUAGUCUUUAAAAUUCCAUGGUGUUUCUAAAUUAUUCUGAUAUACUUAAAAAUAGUCUUUCAGAGUUCCCUUGUGUCUUAGUAGGUUAAGGAUCCAGCUUGUCACUGCUGUAGCUCAGGUCACUGCUGUGGCGUGGCUUCAGUCCGUGGCCCAGGAAUUUGCACAUGCCACGGGCAUGGCCAAAAAGAGGGGGAAAAAUCUACUACUUAUUAGCAUUUGAUAACUACUAAGUCAAGUAUUGAAUUGCACAUAGUUCUAUUUUCAGACCUUUUAUUCUGUUAUGGCGAACUGUUUUUUCAUUUUUCUUGAAAGAAUGUGUUAUUUCAUUUUCUUGUACUUGCUAUUGAGAAACAAUGUUUGAUUUUUAGCUCCAAGACAAGUAGCCUUUUUAAAAUUCAUUUUCACUAUUUGAAACUUGUAAAAUUCUUGUUUUUUGAAGUUUACCCCGUGUUUCAUAUUAGAGUUGAUAUAGGCUUACCUGUAAAGUGGACACUCUUCUUAUUUAUUUUUUUGUUUAUUUUAGCUUUAGGAAAUUGUUAUGCUUUUAAUAAUUGGUUCUGAUUCAUUAGUUCUGUCUUGGGGAGUGGUGCCUCUUGGUAGGUUAGAUCUGUACAUUGUUUUAUGGCUGAUCUUCCUUUUGUGCAUUAAGUCAGCAUUCUAGAUAUGUGUUACAUAUAUAUUUCCUGUUUCACUAACUUGAUUUUCUGCCUUCUUGAUUUUUUUCCUUUGUUCUGUUAAUGCUAGUUUCUUUGUCUUUUUACAGUUUUCGUUUUGAACUAACUCCUUUUUCCCUCUCUACUCUUGUUAAUAGAUCAAGUGUUCUCUGAAUAUUUCAUGAAGAAAAGUGUGACACCUAUAGGAUCCUAUCAGGUGGAAAAAAGGAGCUUGUAGCCAAGAGAGUUAUUUACUUAUUUUCCAUUUACUUAUUUUUCAGUAAGUUUUGGAGUGAAUAUGACUACAGGAGAUCAGUAUUAACUGGAUUGCCCAUCAGUCAAAGUUAGGAAAGUCUGGUUGGGCUAAGUAGAUCAUUAAUUUGACCUGACGUAUAUUUCUUUUGGUCUUAGAUAUCUAAGCAAUAUAUGUGUUUAUAUAUUUUGAUGUUGCCAGUUGAAAAAAAAAAA